UAAAGCAUUCAGUUACCAGACUGAUUUUCUUAAAGGGGGGGAAAAAAGGCAAAAUGGUCUGUUUGCCUUCAGUCCGCAGCCAAGAAAUAAAGUUCCAACAGGUACCUUCACUGUAUCCAGCGGAUACCCCACUGCUGUGCUUAGACCACCUGCAACAGACAUCUUAUUGGACAUGGUU
Non-coding RNA from Tinamus guttatus (white-throated tinamou), 178 nucleotides. Lineage: Eukaryota; Metazoa; Chordata; Aves; Tinamiformes; Tinamidae. The record is from RefSeq and is a predicted model, not a curated record.